Molecule: ribosomal RNA, 575 nt
Filed under: Ammonia sp. genotype T2
Lineage: Eukaryota; Foraminifera; Rotaliida; Rotaliidae
Description: bacterial SSU rRNA
Rfam family: Eukaryotic small subunit ribosomal RNA (bases 1-447)
Source: RNAcentral
GGGUCCGGACACACUGAGGAUUGACAGAUAUACGCUCAUUGCAGUUCGCUGCAUGAGCUGAAAGAUGCUAGUUCUUUCAUGAUUAUGUGAUAGGUGGUGCAUGGCCGUUCUUAGUUCGUGGAGUGAUCUGUCUGCUUAAUUGCGUAUCAAUAAUAGAGACCUAGUAUACGCGUGGAUUUCGCGUGGUAGUGACCCCCUGUUUAACGACAGGCGUGUGUCGCACACGCGUACCUACGCACUGGUCUCAGAUAGCAACGAACGUGACCGUAUUCUAUUGUUGCAGUGAAAUGUGCCUUCGGGUACGACCCACUGCUUAGUAUAUGUACGCCUCGGCGCACAAUAUACAUUAAACUACAGAGACCGCUGUUUCUUCUUUAAACCAGAGGAAGGAUACGGCAAUAACAGGUCUGUGAUGCCCUCAGAUGUUCCGGGCUGCACACGUGCUACAAUGAUCAUUGCACUGUGCAUCUAACCCAAUGUGCGCGGACGCCGCAUGCAUGUGCUCUUCACGGAGUACACGCAUUGCUGUUGCGACCGCGCCGAACCUACUUCGAAAGUAAAAUUUCUCAGUGGGU